ACCUGGCUCACUCAGUUGGUAGAGCACAUGACUUUUGAUCUUGGAGUUGUGAGUUUGACCCCACGUUGGGUG
This 72-nucleotide transfer RNA is filed under the name Canis lupus familiaris (dog). It matches the Rfam family "tRNA". From Rfam's summary of the family: Transfer RNA (tRNA) molecules are approximately 80 nucleotides in length. Lineage: Eukaryota; Metazoa; Chordata; Mammalia; Carnivora; Canidae. RNAcentral also lists the same sequence under 1 other name. The record is from Rfam by way of RNAcentral.